This 256-nucleotide ribosomal RNA is filed under the name uncultured bacterium. RNAcentral describes it as "partial 16S ribosomal RNA". It matches the Rfam family "Bacterial small subunit ribosomal RNA", at positions 793 to 1055 of the family's 1533-position model. The record is from RNAcentral.
GUCCACACCGUAACGUUGGCGCUAGGUGUGGGUCCAUUCCACGGAUUCCGUGCCGCAGCUAACGCAUUAAGCGCCCCGCCUGGGGAGUACGGCCGCAAGGCUAAAACUCAAAGGAAUUGACGGGGCCCGCACAAGCGGCGGAGCAUGCGGAUUAAUUCGAUGCAACGCGAAGAACCUUACCUGGGUUUGACAUAUGCCGGAAAGCCCCAGAGAUGGGGCCCCUUUUAGCGGUAUACAGGUGGUGCAUGGCUGUCGU